UAAUUAUAAAUUAGAAUUUAAUUUUUUAAUCAAAAAGUUAAAAUAUAUUAAAAAGACGAGAAGACCCUAUAGAGUUUUAUAGUUUAAGAUAAUUAAGAUUAUUUAUAAAAUAAAAAAAUUGAAAUUGUUUCAUCUAUUGUGUUGGGGUGAUAGAAAAAUAUAAAAAACUUUUUAUAAAUAAAAACAUUGAUAAAUGGUUAGAUGAUCCAAUAUUAUUGAUUAUAAGAAAAAAUUACCUUAGGGAUAACAGCGUAAUUUUUUUUUUUAGUUCACAUAAAAAAAA
RNAcentral lists this ribosomal RNA (283 nucleotides) under Sesamia sp. SEKEG4011. RNAcentral's name for it is "partial 16S large subunit ribosomal RNA". Lineage: Eukaryota; Metazoa; Arthropoda; Insecta; Lepidoptera; Noctuidae. The record is from RNAcentral.